GGGGUUGUGGCUCAGAGGCAGAGUGCUCGCCUAGCAUGUGUGAGGCACUGGGUUCAAUCCUUAACACCA
Molecule: transfer RNA, 69 nt
Filed under: Marmota monax (woodchuck)
Lineage: Eukaryota; Metazoa; Chordata; Mammalia; Rodentia; Sciuridae
Description: tRNA.Ala
Source: RNAcentral